GCCGGGGCUGGUGCGGCGGCGGGUGUGGGUGUGGGGCGCGGUGAUGCUCGGCUUGUCGGGGGUGUUCCAGGCGCUCGCCCUGGCG
Molecule: transfer RNA, 85 nt
Filed under: Streptomyces rubrolavendulae
Lineage: Bacteria; Bacillati; Actinomycetota; Actinomycetes; Kitasatosporales; Streptomycetaceae
Description: tRNA-His
Source: RNAcentral